This 468-nucleotide ribosomal RNA is filed under the name uncultured bacterium. RNAcentral's name for it is "partial 16S ribosomal RNA". It matches the Rfam family "Bacterial small subunit ribosomal RNA", at positions 28 to 507 of the family's 1533-position model. The record is from RNAcentral.
GACGAACGCUGGCGGCGUGCUUAACACAUGCAAGUCGAACGGAAAGGCCCUGCUUUUGUGGGGUGCUCGAGUGGCGAACGGGUGAGUAACACGUGAGUAACCUGCCCUUGACUUUGGGAUAACUUCAGGAAACUGGGGCUAAUACCGGAUAGGAGCUCCUGCUGCAUGGUGGGGGUUGGAAAGUUUCGGCGGGUGGGGAUGGACUCGCGGCUUAUCAGCUUGUUGGUGGGGUAGUGGCUUACCAAGGGUUUGACGGGUAGCCGGCCUGAGAGGGUGAACGGCCACAUUGGGACUGAGAUACGGCCCAGACUCCUACGGGAGGCAGCAGUGGGGAAUAUUGCACAAUGGGCGGAAGCCUGAUGCAGCAACGCCGCGUGCGGGAUGACGGCCUUCGGGUUGUAAACCGCUUUCGCCUGUGACGAAGCGUGAGUGACGGUAAUGGGUAAAGAAGCACCGGCUAACUACGUG